Molecule: ribosomal RNA, 431 nt
Filed under: uncultured bacterium
Lineage: Bacteria
Description: partial 16S ribosomal RNA
Rfam family: Bacterial small subunit ribosomal RNA
Source: RNAcentral
AACGAACGCUGGCGGCAGGCCUAACACAUGCAAGUCGAGCGCCCCGCAAGGGGAGCGGCGGACGGGUGAGUAACGCGUGGGAAUAUGCCCUUUGCUACGGAAUAGUCUCGGGAAACUGGGGGUAAUACCGUAUACGCCCUUUGGGGGAAGGAUUUAUCGGCGAAGGAUUAGCCCGCGUUGGAUUAGGUAGUUGGUGGGGUAAUGGCCUACCAAGCCGACGAUCCAUAGCUGGUUUGAGAGGAUGAUCAGCCACACUGGGACUGAGACACGGCCCAGACUCCUACGGGAGGCAGCAGUGGGGAAUCUUAGACAAUGGGGGCAACCCUGAUCUAGCCAUGCCGCGUGAGUGAUGAAGGCCUUAGGGUUGUAAAGCUCUUUCAGCUGGGAAGAUAAUGACGGUACCAGCAGAAGAAGCCCCGGCUAACUCCGUG